ACUAUCGAUAAUACAGGAAAAU
This 22-nucleotide small nuclear RNA is filed under the name Arabidopsis thaliana (thale cress). RNAcentral's name for it is "snRNA_07938". The record is from RNAcentral. Lineage: Eukaryota; Viridiplantae; Streptophyta; Magnoliopsida; Brassicales; Brassicaceae.